AUUGAACGCUGGCGGCAGCUUUAAUACAUGCAAGUCGAGCGAGAAAGUUUCUUCGGAAACGAGUAAAGCGGCGAACGGGUGAGUAACGCGUAGGAAUCUACCAUUCAGCGGGGGAUAGCUCGGGGAAACUCGAAUUAAUACCGCAUACACCCUACGGGGGAAAGAAGGCCUCUCCUUGGAAGCUUUCACUGUUUGAUGAGCCUGCGUGAGAUUAGUUUGUUGGUGAGGUAAUGGCUCACCAAGACUACGAUCUCUAGCUGGUCUGAGAGGACGAUCAGCCACACUGGGACUGAGACACGGCCCAGACUCCUACGGGAGGCAGCAGUAGAGAAUAUUGGACAAUGGGGGCAACCCUGAUCCAGGCAUGCCGCGUGUGUGAAGAAGGCCUUAGGGUUGUAAAGCACUUUAGGUAAGGAAGAAAAGUUAAUAGUUAAUACCUGUUAACCGUGACAUUACUUACAGAAUAAGGACCGGCUAACUCCGUGCCAGCCGCCGCCGUAACAC
This 504-nucleotide ribosomal RNA is filed under the name uncultured bacterium. Its description in RNAcentral is "bacterial SSU rRNA". It matches the Rfam family "Bacterial small subunit ribosomal RNA", at positions 30 to 526 of the family's 1533-position model. The record is from RNAcentral.